Molecule: ribosomal RNA, 47 nt
Filed under: Chaetomella raphigera
Lineage: Eukaryota; Fungi; Ascomycota; Leotiomycetes; Chaetomellales; Chaetomellaceae
Also listed under: 3 other names
Description: partial 18S ribosomal RNA
Rfam family: Eukaryotic small subunit ribosomal RNA
Source: RNAcentral
GUCGUAACAAGGUCUCCGUAGGUGAACCUGCGGAGGGAUCAUUACCG